Molecule: long non-coding RNA, 564 nt
Organism: Lolium rigidum
Lineage: Eukaryota; Viridiplantae; Streptophyta; Magnoliopsida; Poales; Poaceae
Exons: 2
Source: RefSeq, a predicted model, not a curated record
GCGGGCUUCUCGCCGGCCGCGGCGCGGCCACGGCGCCACCACGAGCUACUAGCGCCUUCUCCACCACCACCACCGUCGUCGGCAGAAGCCAUGUUCCACAGUAUCGUCAGCCGCCGAUCCGAUCGCCGAAUCUUGACAUCCUCGCCAGGUCUCAAUUCAUCUGGGAGCAUGUAGACAAGAUAUUCGGGCUCCACCGCAAGUACCCCUCCCGGCUCACGGCCGGUCUCCUGCUUUUGAGCGGUUCGUACUGCCUUUCCGGCCACGUUGCGCCAUACCUAUCUCGUUCUUCGAAAUCCCCCAGCCAUGAGAUUAAGUAAGGCUACGGAUGGAUCAACGAGACUCCCCUAGCUACCAGAGGAUGAAGAAAGUAACAGAAGCAGAUUUGGCAGAGGUUCUGCUCUACAUAUAUAUAGUAUCAUAAAGAUGAAAUAAUUGUACUCUCGACUUUAUCUAGUUACAUAUAUAUCUAGAUGCAUUCUAAUUAAGAUCCGUGUCUAAAAAAUUAAGUCACUUAUUUUAGGAUUGAGGGUAUACAUGGGUCGAUAUAUGAAUGGCAUUUGUUUU